This is a long non-coding RNA of Sinocyclocheilus grahami, 162 nucleotides long. RefSeq lists it as uncharacterized. The transcript has 3 exons. NCBI's taxonomy places the organism in Eukaryota, Metazoa, Chordata, Actinopteri, Cypriniformes, Cyprinidae. The record is from RefSeq and is a predicted model, not a curated record.
GCGGAGUUUCACCAUAUCAGAGAAAGUGGCACACACCAGCAAGAUUUCACAGAUGUUGCAUGACAUUCUAAAUGUUUGAUCUUCAGUGUACGUGUGUGAGGAGAACUGUUCUUCAGGACAUGAAAUGAGGAUUUGGGCGAGCCAGACAUCACUGACACAAAC